Molecule: long non-coding RNA, 500 nt
Organism: Carassius gibelio (silver crucian carp)
Lineage: Eukaryota; Metazoa; Chordata; Actinopteri; Cypriniformes; Cyprinidae
Exons: 4
Source: RefSeq, a predicted model, not a curated record
CAUCAGUGUAUAACAUUGAUGAAGGUAAAAUGGAGUCUCCCAGGGAGAGAUUUGAGAGCAGUUGAGAGCAGACGUUGACAGAAUGCUAAUUUAUUUGUCAAAAAGAGCACCCAGAUGGUCAACAGUUGAUUUCACAUUUAAGAGUGCUCUUGCUGAGUCAUGGGAAAAAUAAAGGAGCUGGAAAAAAACACCUGCUAGUGACAUCAGCAUCAUCUACACACCUGCUAGUGACAUCAUGCUCCUCUUCACCUGCUAGUAACUUGCCUGCUUUGUGAUAAGCAAAUUUUGCUAUCUUCUAAUUCUGAACACAUCAGAAAUCACCAACCCCUCCUGACAUAUCUUUCCAGUUUGGGCAAAAAAUGAAUGUAUGUGCCAAAGUAGAAUUCAACAACUUUAGCCGUGAUCUCUGUGAUCAGCUCAUCAUCUCUCCAUACCCUCUCCACAUGGAAGUCACCUCUUGUACUUGUUACAAGAUCACACCAAGUUAACUAGUCCAGUAA